Molecule: ribosomal RNA, 229 nt
Filed under: uncultured bacterium
Lineage: Bacteria
Description: partial 16S ribosomal RNA
Rfam family: Bacterial small subunit ribosomal RNA
Source: RNAcentral
UGCGUAGGCGGAAAAUUAAGUCAGUGGUGAAAUCCUGCAGCUCAACUGUAGAACUGUCAUUGAUACUGAUUUUCUUGAAUACAGUUGAGGUAGGCGGAAUAUGUAAUGUAGCGGUGAAAUGCUUAGAUAUUACAUAGAACACCGAUUGCGAAGGCAGCUUACUAAACUAUGAUUGACGCUGAGGCACGAAAGCGUGGGGAGCGAACAGGAUUAGAUACCCUGGUAGUCC